This 620-nucleotide ribosomal RNA is filed under the name Paenibacillus sp. I12B-00970. RNAcentral describes it as "bacterial SSU rRNA". It matches the Rfam family "Bacterial small subunit ribosomal RNA", at positions 86 to 693 of the family's 1533-position model. The record is from RNAcentral. Lineage: Bacteria; Bacillati; Bacillota; Bacilli; Caryophanales; Paenibacillaceae.
UGAUGCUUAGCGGCGGACGGGUGAGUAACACGUAGGUAACCUGCCUGUAAGACUGGGAUAACAUUCGGAAACGAAUGCUAAUACCGGAUACGCGAGUUGGUCGCAUGGCCGACUCGGGAAAGACGGAGCAAUCUGUCACUUACAGAUGGACCUGCGGCGCAUUAGCUAGUUGGUGAGGUAACGGCUCACCAAGGCGACGAUGCGUAGCCGACCUGAGAGGGUGAUCGGCCACACUGGGACUGAGACACGGCCCAGACUCCUACGGGAGGCAGCAGUAGGGAAUCUUCCGCAAUGGACGAAAGUCUGACGGAGCAACGCCGCGUGAGUGAUGAAGGUUUUCGGAUCGUAAAGCUCUGUUGCCAGGGAAGAACGCUUGGGAGAGUAACUGCUCCCAAGGUGACGGUACCUGAGAAGAAAGCCCCGGCUAACUACGUGCCAGCAGCCGCGGUAAUACGUAGGGGGCAAGCGUUGUCCGGAAUUAUUGGGCGUAAAGCGCGCGCAGGCGGUCAAUUAAGUCUGGUGUUUAAGGCUGGGGCUCAACCCCAGUUCGCACUGGAAACUGGUUGACUUGAGUGCAGAAGAGGAAAGUGGAAUUCCACGUGUAGCGGUGAAAUGCGUAG